Eriocheir sinensis (Chinese mitten crab) is the source of this 4226-nucleotide RNA transcript. RefSeq lists it as uncharacterized. Lineage: Eukaryota; Metazoa; Arthropoda; Malacostraca; Decapoda; Varunidae. The transcript has 11 exons. The record is from RefSeq and is a predicted model, not a curated record.
GCCGCCGGACGGGAAGGUAGUGUCGCACCUCCCUCCGCAUCUCCCUCCCCACAGCGCCGCGCCCUAGACCACAGCGACCCCGAAGUGACUCUGUGGGUGCUGUGUCGACCUCGAACUCUAUCUGUGCGUGUCUGAGAGCUGCCAUGCGUGACCUUUGACCUGUGGCUCUGGAAUAAGUCACUCAAGAAGUCUGUAUAUCGGUCUGUGUUUUAACUAUAUUAUCAUCCCCGCUGCUGUGUCUGUGUGAUCCGUCUGUGUACGUUUUCUGUGUGUGUGUACCCGUAGUGGCUAGUUCAUGUGCUGCUGCUCCCGUGUCUGUUAAACUUUGUAAAUCGUGUACGUGGAUUUAAACUCUCACACACAUUCACGCACACCCCCACCCACACACACACACACACACGUACAUCUGUCUGUCGUGUUGUGUGUACGUUGUGGUGUUCGUCUGUGUGUGUUUGUGCGUGUGUGUAUGUGUGUGUGUUUGUGACGUCUUUGAAGAAGUUUUAACUGUGUGAGGCGUGUGGUGGUCUAGCGUGCAGGUGACGUGGAGGUGCCGCGGGUCAGGUCAUGUCAGGUCAGGUCAUGUCAAGUGAAGCCACAAUCAUGACCUGGCGACACCUGGUGAGCGUCAUGCUGGUUAUGGCGGCGACUCACCUGUCCGCUCAUGAAGGUGUCGCCGCCGCCGCCACUGCUGCCUGGGAGACUCGCCCAGCAUCCUUCUACGUCCAAGGUGAAAGUGCCAGCCACGGCCCCGCGGAGACGGUUGUGCACGUGCCCGACAACAACAAUAACCACAACAAAGACAACAUCCCUCGAGACCCUCAGGCCGGCAGCCCGACACCUCACCAGCACCGGCAGGAGCGCCCUCAGAACAAGAACACCCCAGUUGGCGGGGGUAGUGGUGGUGGUGGCGGUGGAGGUGGCGGGCGUGGCAGCAACGUCGUGGACACCGUCUUGGCGGCCCUGGUAGAUUACGCGAAGGACCCUGAGUUGUGGCGGAGCGUGCAUAGAGUUGUCGACGAGCUUGACUUCAGCCAGCGUGCCAGCCACCCGCCAGCACCCGCCGCCCCCCUUCCCCCGCGGCCAGCCCUGCACCUCUCACACCCACGCACCUACCUCUGGGGGACGGCUGGCGGCACAAAGCACACGAGGGACGAGAGUGACAGCCGCACUUACAGGUGGUCGAGUGGCGGCGACAGGCACGGCAGAGGAAACGCUUCGGGUGACAGCAGAACCACCACCACCACCACCACCACUACCACCACUACCUCCACCACUGCAGCACCAACCACAGCGGGUCCUCCAUUCCCCUGGCCACAGCAGCUCCCAGAAGUCAGCGCUGGGAGCCUCGACAACUACACAUUCACCGACAUGCUCUCAGCCACUCGCUCGGACAGAGUUAACUUUGUAAGGAGUCAACCCUCAGCGGCCCCUCACUUCCUCUUCCACCGGGUGUUCCUCAACGAGACCUUCGACAGCCAUACCAGACAGCCGUACCGCCGCCCCGUCCUUGCACUCACGGCCGUGGGCAAGAACGCGGCGAAGUCUGGGAAAGGAAACUUCACUGAUGCCACAAACCACACAGGCACGGACUCGAGUCGCGGUGCUGGUGCAAGAGAGCUCCCAGACAGAUAUUAUUCCCUCACGGAAGACUCUGUGGCGCCAAAGUAUUCCAGGGAACCAAGUCAAGGCGAAGGAACAACACAUGCGGCCGACGAGGAAUAUAGUGGCGGUGUGAGUGAGUCCCGAGAGGCUUCAUCCGGCAUGCACCACCACCACCACCACCACCACCACCACCACCGCCAACACCACCACCACCCACACCACAGGUUACGCACAUUCAAGAGCCAAUUGAAGUUUCUGCAGCGCUGGGAGGAGAGGCUCAGGCGGAGGCGUGCUCACUUUCGGCCCCAACACAACACCGAGGGACUGUAGCAGCCGCCGGCCCUCCCUGCGCCUCAGAUCAGCUCCAGUUGUCAGGAUCCCGAACUCCCCCUUGGCCGACCCUUGUGUAGUCCGCGGCAGCCUCCUGGGCAAGGGCGUGUCGGGCCGUGACUGUCCCAAGAGUGAGGCCAAGUGUACCCCGCGCGCCUCCCACACCGCCGGGAUUGUGACUGACGCGCUGCCGGAGCCUGAGGGAAACACGCCGCCCGCCACCACGAGUUUGAAGGCGCUGCUGGGCGGCCUCAGCAAGGCUCGCUACUGCAUGGCCCAGUGUGGGGCGCCGCGGGAACAGCCCAAUUCUGCCUUGACACAACCCGCAGCCACGCCCUUGGUCGAUGCAGUGCGGCCGUCCCUUAGCCACCAACAGCAGCAGCAACAACAACAGCAACUACAAAUAGUGUUCAUUUAUCGCGGCUCAUGGGUGAGGAGGAAGUUUCUGCCGGCGUGAGCUUGUGUGGCUCAUUUGUUCUCCAACACGUAUAAGAGAAACUCCGAACCAGGAACUGUUUCUGACUUGGGCGACGACGGUGCCGGACGCGACGCCUCCGCCCUCAUACCAACUCUUCCCAAAGGCGCAAGAGGAGGUUAAUCGGGGUCUCAUGAGUGUUUCUUUUUCACGUUCAUGGUACAGUCCCGCUACGAAGUGUUGAGACAGUUUGCAAGGACUUUCGUUCAAAUAAUACAUAACAUUAUUCGAAGGGAAGGGAUGUUUAGGAGUGAUUUUCUUAUAGAUACACAAAAUUUAGUAGUUUUAUAAAAGUUGGUAGAGAAUGUUUCCCCGAGGGUAGUUGCCAAAUCUCGCCAGCCUACGCUCCGUGUCCGAAAGAUUAUGAAAACUGUGUCAACACUUUGUAACGCGACUGUACAGAAGCUUUGUCUAACUACCACCAGGGUCGUAAAACUAUCCAUGGACACGACUCCUACGAAAGCCUUGUCGAAUGUGUGUGUGCCUGGCCGCUGAAGUGUUAAGACUACGGUCGGUAUUAUAAGACACCUCCGUCUCUCACAUCAGCUAUUUCUAAAGGUCAAAGAGGGAGUCAAUCGGGUUCUUAUGAGUGUUUCUUCAGGUUCAUGGUACAGAAGAAGGGUCACACUACCACCACGGCCAUAAAACUACCCCUGGAAAUGCCCACAACUCCUACGAAAGCCUUGUCAAAUAUGUUUCUUAGGUUCAUGGUACAGAAGAAGGGUCACACUACCACCAGGGCCAUAAAACUACCCCUGGAAAUGCCCACAACUCCUACGAAAGCCUUGUCAAAUAUGUAUCUUAGGUUCAUGGUACAGAAGAAGGGUCACACUACCACCAGGGCCAUAAAACUACCCCUGGAAAUGCCCACAACUCCUACGAAAGCCUUGUCAAAUGUGUGUUUCUUUAGGUUCACGGUACAGAAGAAGGGUCACACUACCACCAGGGCCAUUAAACUACCCCUGGAAAUGCCCACAACUCCUACGAAAGCCUUGUCAAAUAUGUUUCUUAGGUUCAUGGUACAGAAGAAGGGUCACACUACCACCAGGGCCAUUAAACUACCCCUGGAAAUACCCACAACUCCUACGAAAGCCUUGUCAAAUGUGUGUUUCUUUAGGUUCAGGGUACAGAAGAAGGGUCACACUACCACCAGGGCCAUUAAACUACCCCUGGAAAUGCCCACAACUCCUACGAAAGCCUUGUCAAAUAUGUUUCUUAGGUUCAUGGUACAGAAGGAGGGUCACACUACCACCUGGGCCAUUAAACUACCCCUGGAAAUACCCACAACUCCUACGAAAGCCUUGUCAAAUGUGUGUUUCUUUAGGUUCAGGGUACAGAAGAAGGGUCACACUACCACCAGGGUCAUAAAACUACCCCUGGAAAUGCCCACAACUCUUACGAAAGCCUUGUCAAAUAUGUGUUCUUGGGCGGCGAGGUGUCUCAUAAUACGACCCGUUAUGGCCCUGAAAGCACUGGACAGAGCAGAGACCCGAGCUGGACUGACCCACACGCUGUCCUUCGCCCACCAAGUUGUCUUCUCUAGUCAUUUCGCUGCCAAUGUGGAGGACUGAAUGUUUGUUGAAUGACCUUAUCAGAGGGACUGGUUGGUUGGUAAGUAUCUACAUCAUAAAACAAUAAUGUAUAAAUAUUUUUGAUAGAUGAAAAAUGGCGUAUACAUAGCUUUACAGAUUCUCCUUAUCAUACUAGACACUAACCACCGAUUGUAACAUAUCAGCGUAAGAGUGAUGAUAGUUUAUAUACUACAAUGUGUAGAUGAAUAUUUUAGUAAAAAUUAUAUAAUGCAAAUGUCUUUCUUGCU